CCCUUAGACGUUCUGGGCCGCACGCGCGCUACACUGACCAGUGCAACAAGCAUCCGUCCUUGGCCGACAGGCCCGGGCAAUCUUUGAACGCUGGUCGUGAUGGGGAUAGACUUUUGCAAUUUUUGGUCUUCAACGAGGAAUUCCUAGUAAACGCAAGUCAUCAACUUGCAUUGAUUACGUCCCUGCCCUUUGUACACACCGCCCGUCGCACCUACCGAUUGAAUGGUCCGGUGAAGCCUCCGGAUUGGCGCGCACCUCGGUGCCGCCGACAAGUUGGCUAAACCUUACCAUUUAGAGGAAGGUGAAGUCGUAACA
This 315-nucleotide ribosomal RNA is filed under the name uncultured eukaryote. RNAcentral describes it as "partial 18S ribosomal RNA". It matches the Rfam family "Eukaryotic small subunit ribosomal RNA", at positions 1470 to 1796 of the family's 1831-position model. The record is from RNAcentral.